AUGGCUCAUUACAACAGCCGUUGUUUCUUGGAUCUUGAUUUACUUGGAUAACUGUGGUAAUUCUAGAGCUAAUACAUGCAACACAGCUCCGACCGCUCGGGAGGAGCGCAUUUAUUAGACCAAGACCAAUCGGGCCUCGGCCUGGAAUCUGGUGACUCUGAAUAACUUUGCUGAUCACACGGUCCUAGCACCGGUGACAUAUCUUUCAAGUGUCUGCCCUAUCAACUUUCGAUGGUAGUUUAUGUGCCUACCAUGGUUGUAACGGGUAACGGAGAAUAAGGGUUCGACUCCGGAGAGGGAGCCUGAGAAAUGGCUACCACAUCCAAGGAAGGCAGCAGGCGCGCAAAUUACCCACUCUCAGCUCGAGGAGGUAGUGACGAAAAAUAACGAGACGGUUCUCUAUGAGGCCCGUCAUCGGAAUGGGUACAAUUUAAACCCUUUAACGAGGAUCUAUUGGAGGGCAAGUCUGGUGCCAGCAGCCGCGGUAAUUCCAGCUCCAAUAGCAUAUACCAAUUCUGUUGCUGUUAA
This 528-nucleotide ribosomal RNA is filed under the name Metachromadoroides remanei. Its description in RNAcentral is "SSU rRNA". It matches the Rfam family "Eukaryotic small subunit ribosomal RNA", at positions 93 to 622 of the family's 1831-position model. The record is from RNAcentral. Lineage: Eukaryota; Metazoa; Nematoda; Chromadorea; Desmodorida; Desmodoridae.